RNAcentral lists this ribosomal RNA (411 nucleotides) under uncultured bacterium. Its description in RNAcentral is "bacterial SSU rRNA". It matches the Rfam family "Bacterial small subunit ribosomal RNA", at positions 355 to 763 of the family's 1533-position model. The record is from RNAcentral.
UGAGGAAUAUUGGGCAAUGCCCGCAAGGGUGACCCAGCAACGCCGCGUGGAGGAUGAAUGUCGUAAGAUUGUAGACUCCUGUUAGAGGGGAAGAAUAGUACCGGUUGGACCGGUAUAUGACUGUACCCUCAGAGAAAGCCCCGGCUAACUACGUGCCAGCAGCCGCGGUAAUACGUAGGGGGCAAGCGUUGUCCGGAUUUACUGGGUGUAAAGGGCGCGCAGGCGGGAUAAAAAGUCAGUGGUGAAAUCCUACAGCUUAACUGUAGAACUGCCUUUGAUACUUUUAUUCUUGAGUUCGGGAGAGAGAGACGAAAUUCCAGUUUGAGUGGUGAAAUACGUAGAAAUCUGGAAGAACACCUGUUGCGAAGGCGGUCUCUUGGUCCGACACUGACGCUGAGGCGCGAAAGCGUG